GAUGAACGCUGGCGGCGUGCCUAAUACAUGCAAGUCGAGCGAACAGACGAGGAGCUUGCUCCUCUGACGUUAGCGGCGGACGGGUGAGUAACACGUGGAUAACCUACCUAUAAGACUGGGAUAACUUCGGGAAACCGGAGCUAAUACCGGAUAAUAUAUUGAACCGCAUGGUUCAAUAGUGAAAGACGGUUUUGCUGUCACUUAUAGAUGGAUCCGCGCCGCAUUAGCUAGUUGGUAAGGUAACGGCUUACCAAGGCAACGAUGCGUAGCCGACCUGAGAGGGUGAUAGGCCACACUGGAACUGAGACACGGUCAAGACUCCUACGGGAGGCAGCAGUAGGGAAUCUGCCGCAAUGGGCGAAAGCAUGACGGAGCAACGCCGCGUGAGUGAUGAAGGUCUUCGGAUCGUAAAAAUCUGUUAUUAGGGAAGAACAAAUGUGUAAGUAACUAUGCACGUCUUGACGGUACCUAAUCAGAAAGCCACGGCUAACUACGUG
Molecule: ribosomal RNA, 497 nt
Filed under: uncultured bacterium
Lineage: Bacteria
Description: partial 16S ribosomal RNA
Rfam family: Bacterial small subunit ribosomal RNA
Source: RNAcentral